This 497-nucleotide ribosomal RNA is filed under the name uncultured bacterium. RNAcentral's name for it is "partial 16S ribosomal RNA". It matches the Rfam family "Bacterial small subunit ribosomal RNA", at positions 28 to 507 of the family's 1533-position model. The record is from RNAcentral.
GAUGAACGCUGGCGGCGUGCCUAAUACAUGCAAGUCGAGCGAACAGACGAGGAGCUUGCUCCUUUGACGUUAGCGGCGGACGGGUGAGUAACACGUGGGUAACCUACCUAUAAGACUGGGAUAACUUCGGGAAACCGGAGCUAAUACCGGAUAAUAUUUCGAACCGCAUGGUUCGAUAGAGAAAGAUGGCUCUGCUAUCACUUAUAGAUGGACCUGCGCCGUAUUAGCUAGUUGGUAAGGUAACGGCUUACCAAGGCAACGAUACGUAGCCGACCUGAGAGGGUGAUCGGCCACACUGGAACUGAGACACGGUCCAGACUCCUACGGGAGGCAGCAGUAGGGAAUCUUCCGCAAUGGGCGAAAGCCUGACGGAGCAACGCCGCGUGAGUGAUGAAGGUCUUCGGAUCGUAAAACUCUGUUAUUAGGGAAGAACAAACGUGUAAGUAACUGUGCACGUCUUGACGGUACCUAAUCAGAAAGCCACGGCUAACUACGUG